This 257-nucleotide long non-coding RNA is filed under the name Phoenix dactylifera (date palm). RNAcentral describes it as "long non-coding RNA (PDAC_LNC015563)". The record is from RNAcentral. Lineage: Eukaryota; Viridiplantae; Streptophyta; Magnoliopsida; Arecales; Arecaceae.
UUUAUGCAAAGUUGAAGAUGAUGCAUUGCUACCGCCGUAGACUUGAGGGUUAGGUUGUGGUUGAGCUGGUAGCUUACCCUUCUCUUGAGCACUUAAAGCAGUGGUCAGUGUUGUCAGUUGAUUUCUUAUUUCAUCAUUGAUUUUUGCUUGACCUUGCAUGAAAGAUUGCAAAGUUUCUUCGAGGCUGGGUUUUUGAGGGGGUGUGUGUGCAUAAUGAGGUUGCGGAGGUGGAGGAGUUGGGUUAUAUACUUGUUGAG